Molecule: unclassified non-coding RNA, 203 nt
Filed under: Hevea brasiliensis (rubber tree)
Lineage: Eukaryota; Viridiplantae; Streptophyta; Magnoliopsida; Malpighiales; Euphorbiaceae
Source: RNAcentral
GAUUUGAGCCUAGCAUGAGAAAUAAAAUUUGUGUUUCAAAACUUCUUUCAUUAGUUUUCUUUUUUUUUUAUUUUUUUUAGACUAUGACAAAUCUGGCAUGUCCCAUAGAUUUGAUUUAAGGUGUAUUUGUAAAUUUUGAAUUUUUUAAGUAGAAGGCCUUAGUAAUUAUAUAAUCAUUCUUCAAAAAGUAUUGAUUCUUUAGA